GAAACCGUUCAGGGGUAAACCUGAGAAACCCAAAAGAUCGAAUGGGGAGAUUCAUCGUCGACGAAGCUGGCUCCCGUUGGUGCGCGAUACCCCGAAUGGGACUUAACCUUUCCAAGGCGAGGGUACACCACCUGCGGCGAACGAUCCGGCGACGUAGUCGUGCACUUCUCCCUUAGUAGAACGUCGCGACCCGUUGUGUGUCGGUCUACGGCCUGGGCUAAUUGCCUGUCGCGGCGCCUUCGUAAGCUCGCGGCAGAGGCUCGGUCGCCUGGCCGGCUGCACGACGGUACUCUGACGGUAUCGGGCCGCAACCAAUCCAUUCUCGAAUGUGUGUGCGUCGGACCCGUCGCAAGCUCGGACAGAUUUACUCGGAGUGUGCGGACCUAGUGCCCUCACCGGGUCUGGCCAGCUGUUGGCAGACGGUGUUCUUGGACUGGCCAAGCUUUGAAUUACCGGUCGGCGACGCUACUGCUUUGGGUACUCUCAGGACCCGUCUUGAAACACGGACCAAGGAGUCUAACAUGUGCGCGAGUCAUUGGGACAUGUAAACCUAAAGGCGCAAUGAAAGUGAAGGUCGGCCUCGGCGUCGACCAAGGGAGGAUGGGCCGCUUACGUCCCGGCCCCGCACUCCCGGGGCGUCUCGUUCUCAUUGCGAGAAGAGGCGCACCCAGAGCGUACACGUUGGGACCCGAAAGAUGGUGAACUAUGCCUGGUCAGGACGAAGUCAGGGGAAACCCUGAUGGAGGUCCGUAGCGAUUCUGACGUGCAAAUCGAUCGUCGGAACUGGGUAUAGGGGCGAAAGACUAAUCGAACCAUCUAGUAGCUGGUUCCCUCCGAAGUUUCCCUCAGGAUAGCUGGCACUCGCUCGUUCCUCCGUGAACGUGUGCGAGUUUCAUCUGGUAAAGCGAAUGAUUAGAGGCCUUGGGGCCGAAACGACCUCAACCUAUUCUCAAACUUUAAAUGGGUGAGAUCUCUGGCUUGCUUGGAUCAUAUUGAAGCCAAGAGAUUUUGAAUCAGAGUGCCAAGUGGGCCAAUUUUGGUAAGCAGAACUGGCGCUGUGGGAUGAACCAAACGCAGAGUUAAGGCGCCUAAGUCGACGCUUAUGGGAUACCAUGAAAGGCGUUGGUUGCUUAAGACAGCAGGACGGUGGCCAUGGAAGUCGGAA
RNAcentral lists this ribosomal RNA (1165 nucleotides) under Leioproctus plumosus. RNAcentral's name for it is "eukaryotic LSU rRNA". It matches the Rfam family "Eukaryotic large subunit ribosomal RNA", at positions 401 to 1266 of the family's 3401-position model. Lineage: Eukaryota; Metazoa; Arthropoda; Insecta; Hymenoptera; Colletidae. The record is from RNAcentral.